RNAcentral lists this unclassified non-coding RNA (233 nucleotides) under Basidiomycota sp. RNAcentral describes it as "partial contains small subunit ribosomal RNA, internal transcribed spacer 1, and 5.8S ribosomal RNA". The stretch from base 1 to 47 matches the Rfam family "Eukaryotic small subunit ribosomal RNA", at positions 1785 to 1831 of the family's 1831-position model. Lineage: Eukaryota; Fungi; Basidiomycota. The record is from RNAcentral.
AAAGUCGUAACAAGGUUUCCGUAGGUGAACCUGCGGAAGGAUCAUUAACAAAUUCCAAAACUCGUGUUUGGCCCGACUGGAAGGCCCAGUGGAACCUCUGUGCGAACGGGGGCAACACUGGCUGGAAGGAAAGGUCAGCUAUACACAAAUACUCACAUUUACAAUUGACAACUAAUGGAAAUCCAAAACAUGUUAAUCAAAAACAACUUUUAACAAUGGAUCUCUUGGCUCUU